RNAcentral lists this transfer RNA (114 nucleotides) under Nanobdellota archaeon. RNAcentral describes it as "tRNA-OTHER". It matches the Rfam family "tRNA". From Rfam's summary of the family: Transfer RNA (tRNA) molecules are approximately 80 nucleotides in length. Their secondary structure includes four short double-helical elements and three loops (D, anti-codon, and T loops). Further hydrogen bonds mediate the characteristic L-shaped molecular structure. tRNAs have two regions of fundamental functional importance: the anti-codon, which is responsible for specific mRNA codon recognition, and the 3' end, to which the tRNAs corresponding amino acid is attached (by aminoacyl-tRNA synthetases). tRNAs cope with the degeneracy of the genetic code in two manners: having more than one tRNA (with a specific anti-codon) for a particular amino acid; and 'wobble' base-pairing, i.e. permitting non-standard base-pairing at the 3rd anti-codon position. The record is from RNAcentral. Lineage: Archaea; Nanobdellati; Nanobdellota.
GGGCCGGUAGCUCAGCUUGGUAGAGCACCUGAAAAACAGAGGGAAAAUUUCGGUGAAACUUUUACCAAAUGAGAAGACAUCAGGUGGUCGAGGGUUCAAAUCCCUUCCGGCCCG